GUCCCUCUGAGCUUCUCCUUGGCCACAUCUGCAGAAAGUAAGUCAUCUUUCUAGUUUCUUUUCGGCCCCCAGGGCACCCAGAGAGCAGGGUCCACCACGGCCAGACGAGGCUGCCCUCGACUUCACAGAGAUCCACCAGCCUCUGCCUCCCUGAGUGCUGAGACUACAGGCACGCACCUACUUUGUUCUAUUUUGUUUUGGAAGAAUCUUACGUGGUAUAGAACUGGACAUCCUCCUGCAUCAGCCUCCCCAGUGCUAGGAUUUACAGGUUAUUGUCGAACGCCAGACUGGUCACUAAGGCGAUCCUCUACAUGAUGACUCUGGCUUCACCACGGGAAAGUCGUCGUGAAAAACACGUCUGCGUCCUGCUCACAGGCAUUGACAACGGGCUCGUCCAUUGCACAUUCUACAGGAAUCCCCCCACGAGUUUCUUUCGGGACUCAAUAACUACGUAAUUGUAUCUCUCCUAGAGUCUAUAUCAUCCUCUUCCCCCUCUCCAGCCACUAAGAGCCUCGGAGCUAAGUUUAGUAAAGGUGAGAGGUUUGGAGCUGUUGAGGUGGCUCAGUAGGUAAAGGUGCUUGAGUGACUAAUCCUCAGGGGCCGACCAGGUGAGAGAACUGACUCUCACAGUUGCCCUCUGACCUCCACAAGCACCUCAUGGCACGUGCUCAUGGGUGAACCAAUAAAUAAACAAAUGCAAUAAAAAUAUUUUUAAAAUGUAA
Long non-coding RNA from Meriones unguiculatus (Mongolian gerbil), 722 nucleotides. RefSeq lists it as uncharacterized. Lineage: Eukaryota; Metazoa; Chordata; Mammalia; Rodentia; Muridae. The record is from RefSeq and is a predicted model, not a curated record. The transcript is spliced from 3 exons.